ACGAACGCUGGCGGCGUGCCUAAUACAUGCAAGUCGAACGGUCUUUCUAUGGAAGCUUGCUUCCACUGAGAAGAUAGUGGCGAACGGGUGAGUAACACGUGGGUAACCUGCCCAUAAGAGGGGGAUAACAUCCGGAAACGGGUGCUAAUACCGCAUAGUUUUUCUUGAUCGCAUGAUUGAGAAAGGAAAGACGGCCUUUGUGCUGUCGCUUAUGGAUGGACCCGCGGCGUAUUAGUUAGUUGGUGAGGUAAUGGCUCACCAAGACGAUGAUACGUAGCCGACCUGAGAGGGUGAUCGGCCACAUUGGGACUGAGACACGGCCCAAACUCCUACGGGAGGCAGCAGUAGGGAAUCUUCCGCAAUGGACGAAAGUCUGACGGAGCAACGCCGCGUGAGUGAAGAAAAGGUUUUCGGAUCGUAAAACUCUGUUGUCAGAGAAGAACAAGUUGGAGAGUAACUGCUCCAGCCUUGACGGUAUCUGACCAGAAAGCCACGGCUAACUACGUGCCAGCCGCCGC
RNAcentral lists this ribosomal RNA (518 nucleotides) under uncultured bacterium. RNAcentral describes it as "bacterial SSU rRNA". It matches the Rfam family "Bacterial small subunit ribosomal RNA", at positions 29 to 518 of the family's 1533-position model. The record is from RNAcentral.